AUUGAACGCUGGCGGCAUGCUUUACACAUGCAAGUCGAACGGUAACAGGCCGCAAGGUGCUGACGAGUGGCGAACGGGUGAGUAAUGUAUCGGAACGUGCCCAGUCGUGGGGGAUAACGCAGCGAAAGCUGCGCUAAUACCGCAUACGAUCUAUGGAUGAAAGCGGGGGACCGUAAGGCCUCGCGCGAUUGGAGCGGCCGAUAUCAGAUUAGGUAGUUGGUGGGGUAAAGGCUCACCAAGCCAACGAUCUGUAGCUGGUCUGAGAGGACGACCGGCCACACUGGCACGGUGACACGGCCCAGACUCCUACGGGAGGGAGCAGUGGGGAAUUUUGGAAAAUGGGCGCAAGCCUGAUCCAGCAAUGCCGCGUGCAGGAAGAAGGCCUUCGGGUUGUAAACUGCUUUUGUACGGAACGAAACGAUCUGGGUUAAUACCUCGGGCUAAUGACGGUACCGUAAGAAUAAGCACCGGCUAACUACGUGCCAGCCGCCGCGGUAA
This 498-nucleotide ribosomal RNA is filed under the name uncultured bacterium. Its description in RNAcentral is "partial 16S ribosomal RNA". It matches the Rfam family "Bacterial small subunit ribosomal RNA", at positions 30 to 523 of the family's 1533-position model. The record is from RNAcentral.